This 987-nucleotide unclassified non-coding RNA is filed under the name Camponotus floridanus (Florida carpenter ant). RNAcentral's name for it is "muscle LIM protein Mlp84B, transcript variant X5". Lineage: Eukaryota; Metazoa; Arthropoda; Insecta; Hymenoptera; Formicidae. The record is from RNAcentral.
ACGUGCCGUGUGCAAAGCACAGGGGGCUAUGACUAGGACGCUCCCGACGCGAGCACAGUCAUUCGAAUCCAGUAUUAGUGCGGUGUAGAGUGCUCGGUGUUUUGUAAUCCACUUACUCGAAUUCACCUUUCUCUCUCUUUUUCUCUUUUUCUCUUUCUUUUCCUCACGCGACUACGAUCGAUUAGUGUGUAAAAAUGCCUUUCAAGCCUGUGGAACAUCCAAAAUGCCCUAAAUGUGGCAAAUCUGUUUACGCUGCAGAAGAGCGAGUUGCCGGUGGACUAAAAUGGCACAAAAUGUGCUUCAAGUGCGGUCUUUGCGGCAAACUGCUCGACUCGACAAAUUGCUCCGAGCACGAGGGCGAGCUGUUUUGUAAAGUCUGCCACGCUCGCAAAUUCGGUCCUAAAGGUUAUGGAUUCGGUGGCGGAGCUGGCUGCCUGUCCAUGGACCAAGGAGAGCAUCUACAAGCGAAGAGCGAGGGUGAAUUAUCGCGGGGUUCCAACGCCACUCUCGAACCACGAGCUAUCGCGAAAGCACCUGAAGGAGAGGGAUGUCCUCGCUGCGGAGGGUAUGUCUAUGCCGCCGAGCAAAUGUUGGCCCGAGGAAGGGCUUACCAUAAAAUGUGCUUCAAGUGCAAAAUGUGUCGUCGAAAUCUGGACUCGACGCUUCAUUGCGAUGGUCCCGACCGCGAGAUAUACUGUCGAGCAAUGGCACAAGGAAUGCUUUAAGUGUGCCAACUGCUCCAAAAGAUUAGAUUCCAUCAACUGCUGUGAAGGUCCUGACAAGGACAUCUAUUGCAAAGUAUGCUAUGGAAAGAGAUUCGGGCCGAAGGGUUAUGGCUACGGCCAGGGUGGCGGCGCCCUGCAGAGCGACUGCUAUGCCAAUGGCGAUGCGGCUCCUCGCACCACCGUGAUCGACACCGCGAUAAUCAAGGCCCCGCCAGGCAAGGGCUGUCCUCGUUGCGGUGGCGUCGUCUUCGCCGCCGAGCAG